Molecule: ribosomal RNA, 281 nt
Filed under: uncultured Bacteroides sp.
Lineage: Bacteria; Pseudomonadati; Bacteroidota; Bacteroidia; Bacteroidales; Bacteroidaceae
Description: partial 16S ribosomal RNA
Rfam family: Bacterial small subunit ribosomal RNA
Source: RNAcentral
AGGGGCAGCAUGAACUUAGCUUGCUAAGUUUGAUGGCGACCGGCGCACGGGUGAGUAACACGUAUCCAACCUGCCGAUGACUCGGGGAUAGCCUUUCGAAAGAAAGAUUAAUACCCGAUGGCAUAAUUCUUCCGCAUGGUUUGAUUAUUAAAGAAUUUCGGUUAUCGAUGGGGAUGCGUUCCAUUAGGCAGUUGGUGAGGUAACGGCUCACCAAGGCUACGAUCAGUAGGGGUUCUGAGAGGAAGGUCCCCACAUUGGAACUGAGACACGGUCCAAACUCC